UACGUAGGGUGCAAGCGUUAAUCGGAAUUACUGGGCGUAAAGCGUGCGCAGGCGGUUUUGUAAGUCUGUCGUGAAAGCCCCGGGCUCAACCUGGGAAUUGCGAUGGAGACUGCAAGGCUUGAAUCUGGCAGAGGGGGGGUAGAAUUCCACGUGUAGCAGUGAAAUGCGUAGAGAUGUGGAGGAACACCGAUGGCGAAGGCAGCCCCCUGGGUCAAGAUUGACGCUCAUGCACGAAAGCGUGGGGAGCAAACAGG
RNAcentral lists this ribosomal RNA (254 nucleotides) under uncultured bacterium. RNAcentral's name for it is "partial 16S ribosomal RNA". It matches the Rfam family "Bacterial small subunit ribosomal RNA", at positions 524 to 776 of the family's 1533-position model. The record is from RNAcentral.